Molecule: ribosomal RNA, 477 nt
Filed under: uncultured bacterium
Lineage: Bacteria
Description: partial 16S ribosomal RNA
Rfam family: Bacterial small subunit ribosomal RNA
Source: RNAcentral
GAUGAACGCUGGCGGCGUGCCUAAUACAUGCAAGUCGAGCGAACAGAUGAGGAGCUUGCUCCUCUGACGUUAGCGGCGGACGGGUGAGUAACACGUGGAUAACCUACCUAUAUGACUGGGAUAACUUCGGGAAACCGGAGCUAAUACCGGAUAAUAUAUUGAACCGCAUGGUUGAAUAGUGAAAGACGGUUUUGCUGUCAGUUGUGGAUGGAUCCGCGCCGCAUUAGCUAGUAGGUGAGGUAGCGGCUUACCAAGGCUACGACGCGUAGCCGACCUGAGAGGGGGACCGGCCAAAUUGGGACUGAGAGACGGACCAGAGUCCUACGGGAGGCAGCAGUGGGGAAUAUUGCACAAUGGGCGGAAGCCUGAUGCAGCAACGCCGCGUGCGGGAUGACGGCCUUCGGGUUGUAAACCGCUUUCGCCUGUGACGAAGCGUGAGUGACGGUAAUGGGUAAAGAAGCACCGGCUAACUACGUG